RNAcentral lists this transfer RNA (72 nucleotides) under Nicotiana sylvestris (wood tobacco). It matches the Rfam family "tRNA". From Rfam's summary of the family: Transfer RNA (tRNA) molecules are approximately 80 nucleotides in length. Lineage: Eukaryota; Viridiplantae; Streptophyta; Magnoliopsida; Solanales; Solanaceae. The record is from Rfam by way of RNAcentral.
AGGGAUAUAACUCAACGGUAGAGUGUCAUCUUGACGUGGUGGAAGUCAUAAGUUCGAGCUUGAUUAUCCCUA